This 450-nucleotide ribosomal RNA is filed under the name uncultured bacterium. RNAcentral's name for it is "partial 16S ribosomal RNA". It matches the Rfam family "Bacterial small subunit ribosomal RNA", at positions 354 to 796 of the family's 1533-position model. The record is from RNAcentral.
GUGGGGAAUCUUGCGCAAUGGGCGAAAGCCUGAUCCAGCCAUGCCGCGUGUGUGAAGAAGGUCUUCGGAUUGUAAAGCACUUUAAGUUGGGAGGAAGGGUAGUAACCUAAUACGUUGCUACUUUGACGUUACCGACAGAAUAAGCACCGGCUAACUUCGUGCCAGCAGCCGCGGUAAUACGAAGGGUGCAAGCGUUAAUCGGAAUUACUGGGCGUAAAGCGCGCGUAGGUGGUUCAGUAAGUUGGAAGUGAAAUCCCCGGGCUCAACCUGGGAACUGCUUUCAAAACUGCUGAGCUAGAGUACGGUAGAGGGUGGUGGAAUUUCCUGUGUAGCGGUGAAAUGCGUAGAUAUAGGAAGGAACACCAGUGGCGAAGGCGACCACCUGGACUGAUACUGACACUGAGGUGCGAAAGCGUGGGGAGCAAACAGGAUUAGAAACCCGAGUAGUCC